CUUAUUCGUAAUGUUUGUCCAUAGGCUACCAGAGUGAGAACAGACAUUUUCGGAAUAAACGUGGUGAGUGAAAAAUUGAAUGAAAUAGCCCUCUCCCUACCCGGUGUCUUAUUCGGCCGCAACUUUGAAUGCAUUGUUUGUUGACAACCUUGUUAUUUACGAAGUUUUUGGUACAGAUUCUCGUUGGAACGUUCCACAAAUUAUACCAACCCCAGGCAAACCUUUCUCUGAAUGCCUCAAUGACUGUAAAUGAAGGUAUGCAUAGUAGACGACUMGCUCUGGUCCAUGCGCAUGCGUUGGAUGUACGCGCAGCUUGCAGUGCAUGUGCGUGGACCAGAGUUUGAUAACAAACUUGGUUAAUCAUUUGUAAGACUCUAGGCCGAGAACUAUGACCUCACUUUGCUCAUACCAACCAGUGGGAGAAACACAUUUCAGAUCCUUCCAGAAGUUGAAACUGCUCUGAGGAAGAGGUCCACAAGUGGUUGAAGGACUCCAGAGAACAUCAGACUUGMCUUGGAGAAAAAUACCUAUCCCAAUGCUGACAGGAUUAACAAGUAUAGAGGUACAGGGUCCUGGAGCAAAAUUGAGGCAAAUUAGGGUUAAGUGCCUUGGUCAAGGACACAUCGACAGAGUUUUCACCUUGACAGCUCAGGUGGACCUAAAAUGCCAGCAUAAUACAAGGUCCAGUUCGGCCAUAAGUACCAACAACACAUGUUGUGGUGCAAUAAGGUACUUCAUCCCGAAGAGGUCUAUUCAUACCCAACGAAGAGAAUCAAGAUCUCCAUAUGAAAGAAAGGUUACCUCUUUCAUGGGUGUCUAAGGAAUAACGACAACCACAGUCUGACAGGUGCUGAAGAGGUGAAAUGUGUCAGCGGACACCAUUGAGAAAUUGACAAAGCUGUUUGAAAUAGGCCACUCUCUUUCAUCAGCUCUAAAAAUGAUCAAAUAUGAGUUGCAAGUGGAGUAUGGAGACAACCAUGUGCAUGCCUCUGUGGACUGCUCCAUUAGCCCCACCUUCAAUUCUGCUACAAAUUGUACCACAAGCUUUUCAAAGAAGCAUGUGUUGCAUCGUAUGUAGAGAAGAAGAUUGAUGAUUCUAACGAGAAUCUGGAUAACUGCAACGAAGAAGAAUGUUCACCCGAAUGCAAUGUUUUCGACUGUGGCAACGCUUCUGAGGACACUGUUGAAAUCGAGUGUGCUCCCGUUUCUGUUGUAAACGGCUCAGGUACAUCUGGAAAACCAGCUGAGGGGGUGACGUUAGAGGAAGACUGGAUGGAGAUCUUUGAAGACCUCAAAAAGAAGAUGAGGGAGGAUCCUGUGAGUUUCAGGCYUAAAGUAGCAUCCUUUGUUUCCAGCUUCAAGRAGAUGAAAACAGACAGUGAACUCAUAGYCACUCUAUCAAACUUUGGCAAAACCAAAYCUGGACCAACAGCAAAGUUUCACCGGGGACGGGCACGMCCYGCAAAGWGCUCCAUAGGAGAGCGUGGACAUGGCACAUGCUGCUGGGAGAGGAAAGCACCCCAUUGAAUGUCUCAGUGUGUGGAAUAACACAUGGACAUUGGGAGUACUACACAAAAAAAGCAAGUCAACAUCAGUGGCCCCCUGURCCCAUCAUCCACCUGCUCACCAUCUGUGACCUUCAGUGCACUAGCGCUCUGCCCUCAAACACCCCCCAUCUGCCUACCAGCUCUAGGUCUCCUCCGCCUUGAACAAAACCAGUGGCUAUUUCAAUGCAUUGUGGMCUCUACAACACCAGAACMAGUGGCUAUUUCAGUAUUGCMUUCUUGCCUUUUGGUUUUACGUUCAUUCAAUUUAAGACGUUUCUGCAAUUUCAUAUGUUUUGGAAAUUGAUUCCAUGUUGAUGAACCAUCAGACUUUAAAAAGCUGUUCUUCCAACCCAGUUGUAGACCUACAGGCCUAUACUAUCACUGAACCAAAACAGUAGUUGUCAUGACUUUGCCGAGUCUUAAAUAUAAAAUGCCUAUUUAUAUAUUUUUUUAUACCGGUGUACACUACCAUUCAAAAGUUUGGGGUCACUUAGAAAUGUCCUUGUUUCUGAAAGAAAAGCCACAAAAUUGUAUAUAACAUCAAAUUGAUCAGAAAUGCARUAUAGACAUUGUUUAUGUUAUAAAUAACUAUUGUAGCUGGAAACGGCAGRUUUUUUAUAGAAUAUCUACAUAGGCGUACAGGCCCGUUAUCAGCA
Non-coding RNA from Salvelinus sp. IW2-2015, 2203 nucleotides. Lineage: Eukaryota; Metazoa; Chordata; Actinopteri; Salmoniformes; Salmonidae. The record is from RefSeq and is a predicted model, not a curated record.